UACAGAGGUGGCAAGCGUUGUUCGGAAUUACUGGGCGUAAAGCGUGCGCAGGCGGCUUCGCAAGUCAGACGUGAAAUCCCCGGGCUUAACCUGGAAAUGGCGUUUGAAACUACGGAGCUGGAGUGUGGCAGAGGGAGGUAGAAUUCCACGUGUAGCGGUGAAAUGCGUAGAUAUGUGGAGGAAUACCGAUGGCGAAGGCAGCCUCCUGGGCCAACACUGACGCUCAUGCACGAAAGCGUGGGGAGCAAACAGG
Molecule: ribosomal RNA, 253 nt
Filed under: uncultured bacterium
Lineage: Bacteria
Description: partial 16S ribosomal RNA
Rfam family: Bacterial small subunit ribosomal RNA
Source: RNAcentral